Molecule: unclassified non-coding RNA, 329 nt
Filed under: soil metagenome
Description: partial contains 5.8S ribosomal RNA, internal transcribed spacer 2, and large subunit ribosomal RNA
Rfam family: 5.8S ribosomal RNA (bases 1-120)
Source: RNAcentral
GAUGAAGAACGUAGCGAAAUGCGAUAAGUAAUGUGAAUUGCAGAAUUCAGUGAAUCAUCGAAUCUUUGAACGCACAUCGCGCCCUCUGGUAUUCCGGGGGGCAUGCCUGUUCGAGCGUCAUUAUAACCACUCAAGCUCUCGCUUGGUAUUGGGGUUCGCGGUUUCGCGGCCCCUAAAAUCAGUGGCGGUGCCUGUCGGCUCUACGCGUAGUAAUACUUCUCGCGAUUGAGUUCGAUAGGUCUACUUGCCAGUAACCCCCAAUUUUUACAGGUUGACCUCGGAUCAGGUAGGGAUACCCGCUGAACUUAAGCAUAUCAAUAAGCGGAGGA